This 510-nucleotide ribosomal RNA is filed under the name uncultured bacterium. Its description in RNAcentral is "partial 16S ribosomal RNA". It matches the Rfam family "Bacterial small subunit ribosomal RNA", at positions 28 to 507 of the family's 1533-position model. The record is from RNAcentral.
GACGAACGCUGGCGGCGUGCUUAACACAUGCAAGUCGAACGAAGAGCGAUGGAAGCUUGCUUCUAUCAAUCUUAGUGGCGAACGGGUGAGUAACGCGUAAUCAACCUGCCCUUCAGAGGGGGACAACAGUUGGAAACGACUGCUAAUACCGCAUACGAUCUAAUCUCGGCAUCGAGGAUAGAUGAAAGGUGGCCUCUACAUGUAAGCUAUCACUGAAGGAGGGGAUUGCGUCUGAUUAGCUAGUUGGAGGGGUAACGGCCCACCAAGGCGAUGAUCAGUAGCCGGUCUGAGAGGAUGGACGGCCACAUUGGGACUGAGACACGGCCCAGACUCCUACGGGAGGCAGCAGUGGGGAAUCUUCCGCAAUGGACGAAAGUCUGACGGAGCAACGCCGCGUGAGCGAUGACGGCCUUCGGGUUGUAAAGCUCUGUUAAUCGGGACGAAAGGCCUUCUUGCGAAUAGUGAGAAGGAUUGACGGUACCGGAAUAGAAAGCCACGGCUAACUACGUG